This 1435-nucleotide long non-coding RNA is filed under the name Apteryx owenii (little spotted kiwi). Its description in RNAcentral is "lncRNA (ENSAOWG00000010060.1)". Lineage: Eukaryota; Metazoa; Chordata; Aves; Apterygiformes; Apterygidae. The record is from RNAcentral.
UAAAUAUAGCAGAUAUGCCCGGAUUUCAAACACGGUUUAGCAACAGUCACACACACACAGUUUCAUGGACAGCUUCUUUCUUUCUGCAUUGUCUGCAGGAACAGGAACAGUGACUCUAAACGGCAAACAGUGGGAGCCGUUCCAGUAUCAAUAAGGAUUAUGACAAGGGAGCGAGUUUGUUUGCUUGGCUGCAAAGGCCUUGGAAUCCAGUGCAUUAGACACAAUUAUACACACUCCAUCUUCUGUGAGCGUCACUCCCAGCUGGCACGAGAGGUCUGAGACUGUCGGCACAUCAGGAAAAAUCCUCCUAAAAGCCUGGAGUGUGCAGGAUGAAUUCCCACCUUUGUUCUUGAGGGAACAGCACUAAGCACCACCAAAGGUAAAACGUGCUGCCUUUCCCUCGCAAAAUUCUGAACUGACUAUGGAAGGCCUCAGCUCAACCCCUGCAGGCAAGCAUCAGCAUCCUGGAAAUCACCACUCCAACUCUGCAGAGGGAUGUCAGCUCGUGAGAAGCGGUGCAGCGCGAAAGCUCUUGUGGCAGCUGUCUGUUAUGUCUGGGACGAUGGAAGUUAAAUUUGUUUGCUCACAGCUAUGCAAAUGCUGUCGCUGAUGUGCUGCUCCCUUAACCUGUCUCAUGUAUGUCUCUGGGUGUAACUUCCAGCGCUUAUUCCUCCAGGGGAUUCCUUUUGGUUUGUGGGUAUUUUUUUUUUUCUUUAUCUAAACAGGACUGGUGCCUUUCUGUCAACUUAAAGCAUGACCACCGACAAGAGGUAGCAAAUGAAAGCAGUGACAAUAUGGAGAGGAAGGGGCAAAGGCUGUGCAAAGAAAAACCAUGCAGAAGAAGGCCGGGUUUGCUUACAUUCCUCGUACCAGGGAGAGUCCUUUCAGCAAACUUUAGGAGGGAACAGCUGCUCAUAGUGAAAACAAGACUGUCCUGCUGAUCCAAGCUGAAAUGUGACAUGGAAGUGGGAUUUUUGACCUUGAAAGAUGCGUCCGUUGUGACGAAGUUGAUAUUAAAGACUAUCGAGCGGGAAAAGAGUUUGGGAAGCGGUGAGGUGAACGUGGACUUCCAGAAACCCAGGAGGCUUGCAGGGACAGGUCAGACAAUCCUUAGAAGCAAAGGAAGCAAGCACACGACAAAAGGAAAUUUUCCUUGUACCUAAUUGUAAGCUCUGCUUAGAUUUGCUGGCAGGGUAACCUGUCUCUCUCCUUCAGCUGCAGAGGGAGCUUGAGGAGGCUACCUGCUUAAACUUGGUACCUAAAUGCCACAACGUGAAUAUUUCAUAGGGUUACUAACUUUGGCGUGAUUGGAGACUUUGAUGGUAAAGAUGCCUUGAUUGUUCAUGGUAUGAAUUUGUCUCCCCAUGAUGCAACAGCUUCAAGAGGAAGAGAAAAUAACUAGAAUAAAGUAAUACUUCCAUGUUGGUGAUGGUCA